UACAGAGGGUGCGAGCGUUAAUCGGAAUUACUGGGCGUAAAGCGUGCGUAGACGGUAGCGUAAGUCAGAUGUGAAAGCCCCGGGCUCAACCUGGGAACUGCAUUUGAGACUGCUCUGCUCGGGUGCGGAAGAGGGAAGCGGAAUUUCCGGUGUAGCGGUGAAAUGCGUAGAUAUCGGAAGGAACACCAGUGGCGAAAGCGGCUUCCUGGUCCGACACCGACGUUCAGGCACGAAAGCGUGGGAGCAAACAGG
Molecule: ribosomal RNA, 252 nt
Filed under: uncultured bacterium
Lineage: Bacteria
Description: partial 16S ribosomal RNA
Rfam family: Bacterial small subunit ribosomal RNA
Source: RNAcentral